UUUUUCGGGGUGUUUUUGCACGUUAGAUUUUCGUUCUAAAAGAAUAAUGUUUUGUUAUCGAAGAUAC
Molecule: transfer RNA, 67 nt
Filed under: Lunella correensis
Lineage: Eukaryota; Metazoa; Mollusca; Gastropoda; Trochida; Turbinidae
Description: tRNA-Glu
Source: RNAcentral